GUAGCAGUGAAAUGCGUAGAGAUGUGGAGGAAUACCGAUGGCGAAGGCAGCCUCCUGGGAUAACACUGACGCUCAUGCACGAAAGCGUGGGGAGCAAACAGGAUUAGAUACCCUGGUAGUCCACGCCCUAAACGAUGUCAACUAGUUGUUGGGGAUUCAUUUCC
RNAcentral lists this ribosomal RNA (164 nucleotides) under Ralstonia solanacearum. Its description in RNAcentral is "partial 16S ribosomal RNA". It matches the Rfam family "Bacterial small subunit ribosomal RNA", at positions 675 to 839 of the family's 1533-position model. The record is from RNAcentral. Lineage: Bacteria; Pseudomonadati; Pseudomonadota; Betaproteobacteria; Burkholderiales; Burkholderiaceae.